AAUUCUCAACUACAAAAGUUUUUCUUUUUGUAGCUUGGAUAUUGGAGGUCUUUGCAGGCUCGAAAAGGGUCAGCUCCUCUUAAAUGCAUUAGCAGAACUUUAAAAAAGGAUCGGCUUUGGUUUGAUAAUAUCUAUGCCAUCGCUGGAACAUUUAUAGUUCAGCUUAUAACCGUCUUAGGGACUGUCUUUUUUGAAAGGCAUCAUUUUAA
This 209-nucleotide unclassified non-coding RNA is filed under the name uncultured Agaricales. RNAcentral describes it as "sequence contains ITS2". The record is from RNAcentral. Lineage: Eukaryota; Fungi; Basidiomycota; Agaricomycetes; Agaricales.